AACGAACGCUGGCGGCAGGCUUAACACAUGCAAGUCGAACGGGUGUAGCAAUACAUCAGUGGCAGACGGGUGAGUAACACGUGGGAACCUUCCUCGUUGUACGGAACAACUCAGGGAAACUUGAGCUAAUACCGUAUACGUCCGAGAGGAGAAAGAUUUAUCGCAAUGAGACGGGCCCGCAUCGGAUUAGCUAGUUGGUGGGGUAACGGCCUACCAAGGCGACGAUCCGUAGCUGAUCUGAGAGGAUGAUCAGCCACACUGGGACUGAGACACGGCCCAGACUCCUACGGGAGGCAGCAGUGGGGAAUCUUGGACAAUGGGCGCAAGCCUGAUCCAGCCAUGCCGCGUGAGUGAAGAAGGCCUUAGGGUUGUAAAGCUCUUUUGGCAGGGACGAUAAUGACGGUACCUGCAGAAUAAGCCCCGGCAAACUUCGUGCCAGCCGCCGCCGUAA
RNAcentral lists this ribosomal RNA (451 nucleotides) under uncultured bacterium. RNAcentral describes it as "partial 16S ribosomal RNA". It matches the Rfam family "Bacterial small subunit ribosomal RNA", at positions 29 to 523 of the family's 1533-position model. The record is from RNAcentral.